CCAGGAAGUCCCUGGCGAAUUCUUUUGAAGCACAACCCCUACAAUCCGUGUGCCGGAGCAUAAAGAUUGAAGUGUGCGCGGUUCCUCCUCCCUCCGGGCCGCGCGUCCGGAACGUUCCUGGCUGUCAGCGCUGUGCUAGCAGGAAGGUCUGUGAAGUUUGCAAUAAAGCCAUUAUGAAGUCAAGAAUGGAGGUUCCAUUUUUAAAGAACUCAGAGGGGGUAGAUCUUGAUUGACAUCUCAUCUGGGGUCACCUGGUCUUCAACUGAGAGAUCUUUUGGUUCGCCACGGAUGCCCCUUGCAGUUAUGGAAGUUCACUCUUUGAGAGAGAGAUAAAUAAACAUUAAAAUGUAAAGAAAAAAAAAAUCAGCAAUGGAAGGAAAAAGGAACAAAAAGCAAUCCAUUGGCGUCAAGCUUGACUGGACCACUCCACUGCUCUGCUGCCGUUAGUGAACCUGACCCUGCAGCAGGAGUCACAGACUCACCACUCACCUCAAGUCCUCACUCCCUGGACCCUCAAUCUACACAUCACUUUGUCUUUUAUUUCCCUGAGAAAUACAGGCCAUCAGUUUGCAGAUCCCUCCUUUCCCCUUACCCUGCAAAUCUCCAUCUAUUUGGAAAAGUGUGCCUCCUACAUUCCAAAGCUAACCCCUCCUCCUCUGCCACUAAUAUCAGCCCUACCUGCCUUCUUCUGUAACUUGCUCCAUUAAUUCCCUCCCCUCUCCCCCAGGUCUCCCUGCCUAUGAACAUAUUCAAGGACAUCAUAUCUUAAAAACAAACAAAUAUCAGGCACAAUGGCUCACACCUGUAAUCCCAGCACUUUGAGAGGUCAAGGCAGGAGAAUCACUUGAAUCCAGGGGUUCAAGACCAGCCUGGGAAACAUAGGGAGACCCUAUCUCUACAAAAAAUAUUUUUUAAAAAAAUUAGCCAGGUGUGGUGGUGUGCACCUGUAGUCCCAACUACUCAGAAGGCUGGGGUGGGAGAAAUAUUUCAGCCCAGGACGUCACUGUGCACAAUUGCUUUACUUUUUUUUCCCUUGGUAUAGACUUGUUGAAGAGUAAGCCUUCAUGUACUGUUUCCUCACUUUACAUUCACUCUCAACUGGAGACAAUAUAGAGUCUUCGCAGAUGCAGCUUUCUCCAGACCAACAAUGUGGUUAGACAUCUGGUUUUUCAUUGUUGUUGUUUGAUUUCUCUGACUAGCUUCCCUGACCAGAGGUCGUUUUGAGUUUCCUUCUCUGGAAUUUGACCACUGAGCAGAGACACAUAGGAGAGAAGACGUGAAUGCUGAGUCAUCAAUCAGCAUCACUGGGAAGAAAAAGCCUCUCAGUUUCUUCUGCUGGGACUCCCAGAGCUGGAGUAUUUUCUGCUCUUCCUAAGGCCUGGUAAUUCAGCUCUUUGUGAGACUGUGAGCUUUACCAUACCCUUCCAGUAGCAACCUUCUUCUUUUUUAAGUUCAUUGCGGGGAAUAGGGAGUGAUGGCUGAUGGACAUAGGGUUUCUUUUUGGGGUGACAAAAAUCUUCUAAAAUUAAGUGGUGGUGAUGGUUGCACAAUUUUGAAUAUACUAAAAACCGUGAAUUCUAAAGUUUAAACAGGUGAAUUCUGUGCUAUAUAAAUUGUAUCUCAAUGAAAUUACUAAUAUUCUAAAGCCUCCCAAGUGACUUAGAUGUUCGGUGAGUGUUGAAAGCCAGUUAUUUAUCACAUCCUUAAGUCCUGCUACCUUUCUCUCACUCUCUAAGUUCAGUUUCCUCUUUGGUUUGACUUGGACCAAUCUGCAACAACUCUUGAUGUUUCUUGUAAAUUCUAUGACUAACUCCCAGAGCUUCUCCUGUCUAUCUGAUACGCAUUUAGCUUCUCCUUUCAGGCCUCAAACAGCAUGUUUAGAACAGAACUGAUCUUCUUCUCCCCAACCUGCUUUACCUUUUCUAUUUCUCACUCAGUUACUGGCACAAACUUCUCCAUAUAUGUUUAAGAAGACCUCUACUUUGACUUUCCCUGCUCCUUCUAACUUACAUCCAAUUAAUCAAAACGUUGUAUCAGUUUUAUUUCUGAAACAAUCUCUCCCAUCUUCCUUAUCUCUUCAUUCCACUGCCAGGUCUGAGUCCACCCUUUACUAUUUUCUGUUGGAUUAAGGCAAACCUCCUGUAAAGAGCUGCCCUGUCUCCUGCAGUCUCAUCCUCCAGUACCCCUUCAUGCCUACACUGAAGUCCUCUUCCUAAAACAGGAAUAGGGUUAACUCACUCACCUCCCCUAAACCUGUUAGUGGCUCUGCACUGAGUACUGGAUCAAGUCUAAUGUAAUGAGAAGGCCCAUUCAAUCUGGGCCAAACUUUCCUUCUUAGCCUAGUGUCCUCCUAUGCCCCCUGCACAGACCUUAGCUCCAAUCACACUAACCCAUGCCAUUACCUGGACACACUGUGCUAGUCUACACUCACGUGCCCCCAGCUCACAUCUCCCCUUUUCCUGGAAUGCCAUGUCCAUAUGGCCUGGAGAAUGACCUAAAGUUAGUGCCAGCAGAGAGCUUAUCAGUAGUGGGGCAGAUCACAGGGGAGAGCAGGUUUUGGAGCUAGGGUGAGGUGUCAAUGAGAAGAAGGGUGAUUUAUUAAGAAGUAAGCUCAUUUCAAGCCAUACACCUGAAACCUGACGCCCAAAGAGGAGGCAGAGACCCAAUCAACUACUGAUACAGUUUGUGAGGCUGGAGACUUGAGAGAACAAUAGGUUGAGGCAAGUGUAACCAAUGGAUUAAUUCCUUACCAAUCUAGGAUUCCUGGAGCGUGGAGUGCUCCAGGCCUGGUGGCACCAAGACUUUAAAAAGAAAAACCAUUACACAGUGAGAUUUGGUCUCUACACAAAAUUUAAAAAUUAGUGUGGUGUGGUCGCACACAACUGUAGUAACAGCUACUCAGGAGGCUGAGGUGGGAGGAUCGCUUGAGCCCAGGAGUUU
RNAcentral lists this long non-coding RNA (2940 nucleotides) under Homo sapiens (human). Its description in RNAcentral is "HSALNT0307023". Lineage: Eukaryota; Metazoa; Chordata; Mammalia; Primates; Hominidae. The record is from RNAcentral.